Molecule: unclassified non-coding RNA, 352 nt
Filed under: soil metagenome
Description: partial contains 5.8S ribosomal RNA, internal transcribed spacer 2, and large subunit ribosomal RNA
Rfam family: 5.8S ribosomal RNA (bases 1-120)
Source: RNAcentral
GAUGAAGAACGUAGCGAAAUGCGAUAAGUAAUGUGAAUUGCAGAGUUCAGUGAAUCAUCGAAUCUUUGAACGCACAUUGCGCCCGGCAGUAUUCUGACGGGCAUGCCUGUUCGAGCGUCAUUACAACCCUCAGGCCCCCGGGCCUGGCGUUGGGGAUCGGCAGAAGCCCCCUGUGGGCACACGCCGUCCCUCAAAUACAGUGGCGGUCCCGCCGCAGCUUCCAUUGCGUAGUAGCUAACACCUCGCAACUGGAGAGCGGCGCGGCCAUGCCGUAAAACACCCAACUUCUGAAUGUUGACCUCGAAUCAGGUAGGAAUACCCGCUGAACUUAAGCAUAUCAAUAAGCGGAGGA